CGAUCAAGCCUCCAGUCUGGACUCACCGAGGUGAACCUGCGGAAGGAUCAUUG
This 53-nucleotide ribosomal RNA is filed under the name Chlorella variabilis. RNAcentral describes it as "partial 18S ribosomal RNA". The record is from RNAcentral. Lineage: Eukaryota; Viridiplantae; Chlorophyta; Trebouxiophyceae; Chlorellales; Chlorellaceae.